RNAcentral lists this ribosomal RNA (253 nucleotides) under uncultured bacterium. RNAcentral's name for it is "partial 16S ribosomal RNA". It matches the Rfam family "Bacterial small subunit ribosomal RNA", at positions 524 to 776 of the family's 1533-position model. The record is from RNAcentral.
UACGUAGGGUGCGAGCGUUAAUCGGAAUUACUGGGCGUAAAGCGUGCGCAGGCGGUUUUGUAAGCCAGAUGUGAAAUCCCCGGGCUUAACCUGGGAAUGGCAUUUGGGACUGCAAGGCUGGAGUGCGGCAGAGGAGACUGGAAUUCCUGGUGUAGCAGUGAAAUGCGUAGAUAUCAGGAGGAAUACCGAUGGCGAAGGCGGCAUCCUGGACCAACACUGACACUGAGGAGCGAAAGCCAGGGGAGCAAACGGG